Molecule: unclassified non-coding RNA, 335 nt
Filed under: soil metagenome
Description: partial contains 5.8S ribosomal RNA, internal transcribed spacer 2, and large subunit ribosomal RNA
Rfam family: 5.8S ribosomal RNA (bases 1-120)
Source: RNAcentral
GAUGAAGAACGUAGCGAAAUGCGAUAAGUAGUGUGAAUUGCAGAAUUCAGUGAAUCAUCGAAUCUUUGAACGCACAUUGCGCCCCUCGGUAUUCCAUGGGGCAUGCCUGUUCGAGCGUCAUUUGUACCUUCAAGCUCUGCUUGGUGUUGGGUGUUUGUCCUUGCUCUAGUGGCGGGACUCGCCUUAAAGUAAUUGGCAGCCAGUGUUUUGGUUUUGAAGCGCAGCACAAGUCGCGAUUCAAGUCUAUACGCUAGUUUCCACAAGUCUUUUAUCACUUUUGACCUCGGAUCAGGUAGGGAUACCCGCUGAACUUAAGCAUAUCAAUAAGCGGAGGA